AAUGAACCAAAACUGCAGAUUCAGGUCAUGUACAUAUGGCCUGCCCAAUUUUGGAGCAAUUGAAAUAGACUGGAGUGCAACUCCUGUAACCUUGAAGCUUGAAGUGAGGGACACGAAUGGAUACCCUGUCACUGGUGUAAAAUUUCCAUUGUUGGAGCUGCAAUCACUUAGCAUGAACCCUGUGACAUCCAUUAAAUUAGGAAGGCAUAAAAGUCAUUGCUUUCUUGAAGUAAAUUUACCAUGGAUUAUCAGAUACCGCCUGG
RNAcentral lists this unclassified non-coding RNA (263 nucleotides) under Hevea brasiliensis (rubber tree). Lineage: Eukaryota; Viridiplantae; Streptophyta; Magnoliopsida; Malpighiales; Euphorbiaceae. The record is from RNAcentral.